AAAUUUUAUUAUAUAUUUAUUAAUAUAUUUUAAUUAAUUAUUUAUAUAUAUAAGAAAUAUUACGAAUUAAUGCGAAGUUGAAAUACAGUUACCGUAGGGGAACCUGCGGUGGGCCUUAUUAUUUUCUUGAAUAUUCCUUUA
Molecule: ribosomal RNA, 141 nt
Filed under: Lachancea kluyveri
Lineage: Eukaryota; Fungi; Ascomycota; Saccharomycetes; Saccharomycetales; Saccharomycetaceae
Description: partial small subunit ribosomal RNA
Source: RNAcentral